ACCAAAGGCACUUAAAAAUUUAUUUGAGUCUUAAAAAAUUAGUGAUUCACGAUCAAUGUAUAAAGGUAAUAUUCCUUACUAAGUAAAGUGUCUGCGAGUUUAACAAGGGCGAAGUUUACGACGUCAGGAGUGUCUUUCAUAGAGAGCAAUUUCAAAAAGAGAUUGGAAUAAGCAGUGGUAUCCUUUUUAAAAAAGUUAAUGAAUAGUCAUUAAUGGUGAGAGAAUAAAGACUUACCUCUUCGGCUGUUUUCACAUAAGCCGAUAAUGGUUUGCCUGUGAGAUUCUCAAUUUCUUGAAGUUCGUUUUCCUCUAAAGAACCAGAUCUUUGAUAUCCCUGCCAAGGAAUAGCAACACAACGCACAUUAUUGAUAAUUUCGUCGACUUGUGAGUUAUCUAAUUCAACGGGUGGAGGGGAUGCAGCAUUCUGACUUGGUUAGAUUUCUCGUGGUUAACCGGUGGAAAUAAAACAUACACUUAAUUCUAAAUCACUAUUUGACAUUUGAAGCUAAGAUUUAUGUGACGAAAUGAAAACGAAGGGACUAUUAAGACUGACAACACUUGGUGGGUGAACGUGGUAAGAGUGUGUAUUGAGCAAAUUGUACCUUCUUCAAGUUAUCGCAAUAUGCAAGCUUAUACAUAAAUGACGAUAAAAACCCCAUUUAAGAGUUUUUGUUUCUAUUUAAUUUACUUUUCUAACCAUUUAAUUUAAAUCUCCCCUUUGAAG
This is a non-coding RNA of Schizosaccharomyces pombe (fission yeast), 724 nucleotides long. The record is from the annotation of a GenBank genome assembly. NCBI's taxonomy places the organism in Eukaryota, Fungi, Ascomycota, Schizosaccharomycetes, Schizosaccharomycetales, Schizosaccharomycetaceae.